GACGAACGCUGGCGGCGUGCUUAACACAUGCAAGUCGAGCGGUAAGGCCCUUUCGGGGGUACACGAGCGGCGAACGGGUGAGUAACACGUGGGUGACCUGCCCUCAGCUCUGGGAUAAGCCUGGGAAACCGGGUCUAAUACUGGAUAUGACUCCAUGACGCAUGUUGUGGGGUGGAAAGCCUUGUGCGGCUGAGGAUGGGCCCGCGGCCUAUCAGCUUGUUGGUGGGGUGAUGGCCUACCAAGGCGACGACGGGUAGCCGGCCUGAGAGGGCGACCGGCCACACUGGGACUGAGACACGGCCCAGACUCCUACGGGAGGCAGCAGUGGGGAAUUUUGGACAAUGGGCGCAAGCCUGAUCCAGCAAUGCCGCGUGUGUGAAGAAGGCCUCGGUUGUAAG
RNAcentral lists this ribosomal RNA (398 nucleotides) under uncultured bacterium. RNAcentral describes it as "bacterial SSU rRNA". It matches the Rfam family "Bacterial small subunit ribosomal RNA", at positions 28 to 429 of the family's 1533-position model. The record is from RNAcentral.